RNAcentral lists this ribosomal RNA (452 nucleotides) under uncultured Streptococcus sp. Its description in RNAcentral is "bacterial SSU rRNA". It matches the Rfam family "Bacterial small subunit ribosomal RNA", at positions 929 to 1382 of the family's 1533-position model. Lineage: Bacteria; Bacillati; Bacillota; Bacilli; Lactobacillales; Streptococcaceae. The record is from RNAcentral.
GCGGUGGAGCAUGUUGGUUUAAUUCGAAGCAACGACGAAGAACCUUACCAGGUCUUGACAUCCCGAUGCUAUUUCUAGAGAUAGAAGUUACUUCGGUACAUCGGUGACAGGUGGUGCAUGGUUGUCGUCAGCUCGUGUCGUGAGAUGUUGGGUUAAGUCCCGCAACGAGCGCAACCCCUAUUGUUAGUUGCCAUCAUUCAGUUGGGCACUCUAGCGAGACUGCCGGUAAUAAACCGGAGGAAGUGGGGAUGACGUCAAAUCAUCAUGCCCCUUAUGACCUGGGCUACACACGUGCUACAAUGGUUGGUACAACGAGUUGCGAGUCGGUGACGGCGAGCUAAUCUCUUAAAGCCAAUCUCAGUUCGGAUUGUAGGCUGCAACUCGCCUACAUGAAGUCGGAAUCGCUAGUAAUCGCGGAUCAGCACGCCGCGGUGAAUACGUUCCCGGGCCUU